GAUGAACGCUGGCGGCGUGCCUAAUACAUGCAAGUCGAGCGAACGGACGAGAGGCUUGCUUCUCUGAUGUUAGCGGCGGACGGGUGAGUAACACGUGGAUAACCUACCUAUAAGACUGGGAUAACUUCGGGAAACCGGAGCUAAUACCGGAUAAUAUUUUGAACGGCAUGGUUCAAAAGUGAAAGACGGUCUUGCUGUCACUUAUAGAUGGAUCCGCGCUGCAUUAGCUAGUUGGUAAGGUAACGGCUUACCAAAGCAACGAUGCAUAGCCGACCUGAGAGGGUGAUCGGCCACACUGGAACUGAGACACGGUCCAGACUCCUACGGGAGGCAGCAGUAGGGAAUCUUCCGCAAUGGGCGAAAGCCUGACGGAGCAACGCCGCGUGAGUGAUGAAGGUCUUCGGAUCGUAAAACUCUGUUAUUAGGGAAGAACAUAUGUGUAAGUAACUGUGCACAUCUUGACGGUACCUAAUCAGAAAGCCACGGCUAACUACGUG
Molecule: ribosomal RNA, 497 nt
Filed under: uncultured bacterium
Lineage: Bacteria
Description: partial 16S ribosomal RNA
Rfam family: Bacterial small subunit ribosomal RNA
Source: RNAcentral